ACACACAGCCGGCUCACCUUAACAGCAGCGCAGCAGUGGAUUACAGAGCACGGGGACAAGGAGACACUGGCGGGUAGGGAAUGGAUCCGCAUGUGAAUCAUGCUGACAGGUCAAUGAAGUGAGUAGCGGCAACAGAUGGCGCCGUAUGCAGCCAGGUACCCCACCAUGCGAGUCACAGGUGAGCCGGCCCUACCCCACUUCUGCUGGGCCGAUGCACAUAGUGCAAUCUGCGCAGAGCCGGGGACUGCCGCUACCGCGAUCGGAGCACUCAGAUUUGGGGAAUGGCUGCUGGUCACUAGAGGCGGCUUCUGCUCAGAAAACGGCCGCGGAAGCUGCUGCCAGCUUAUAUUAAAUCAGCGGGGUGGGACUUUAAAACCAUCGGAGCAGUUAUCAUCAGAUGACAUUUAACUCACGGUAAUUGGAGGUGUAACGUGGGCGGAGCGAGAGCUCUGGUCUCCCUGAUGUCCGCUCCUGCCGUGCCGAUGUGAGAUGCGCACCGUUAGUAAAUCUGUGUGCCAUGCUGCAUGCUGCCUUUUUAAAUAGUAAGGCAGCGUACAGUCUUUAACAGCAGUCAGCAUUUGUAGUGCGCUGCACUAUGUAUGUGUGGCUGUUGCCCCACCCCUGCCUCUACACUUGCUAUGAUCACUGAAGCUGCAGCACGGGCACGGACUCUGCAGAUCUCUGAUGUGGAGCCUUGUGGAGUGCACUGGGAACGGCCAGUGGCAGUAGAAGAGGGGGGGCAGCAAGGAUGUGUAAUACAGCGCCUGUGAUCCGUCCACAGAUACGAACAGAGGUCCCCGGGAGAGAGACACAUGAAUCUGCAGUGUCUUUCAGCCACAAUGGAUAAGCAUACAAUCUUCUGUCUUCAGUCUUCCUCCUUCUGAAGUUCUUCGGACACUUCCAUCAGAUGAAGCCUGCUUGACAGGGGAAACGCAUCGAUGAAUCAGAUAAGAGGGAAGCGUCUUCAGCCUGUGUGCCGAGGAGACUGAACUCCGGAGAGCGUACCCAUUACCAUAGUGAUGGAGGAGGAGCCGGAUAACCUAUUUGGCAGCGGCCGCUGGGGCUCCCAUCCAGAGCGGCCUCCAUGGCCCAUCCGGCCCAUCGGCUGAAGGACGGGUGUAUUAACUAUUUAAAGGGAUGUAAGCGACGAACAGGGUGAGCAAUUUCAACAGUAUGUAAGGACCAUGGAAGAACAGUACCAUAGAUGAUGUGAUACGCAUAUGUUGGAGCAACCACCGCGAAUGUCCAGGAACAUCUCAUGAAAUCACAUAAACUCAGUUUCAGCGACAUCUCAAUGAAGAAACUUUUGUUUUGUUGUACGUAUUCUAGGCUUCUUGGGAUUGCUCUUCAUAGCUUCAUUUGAUUGGUAUUCAUUACAUGUAUAACACAAUAUGUAUAAAUGCACAAAUUUGUAUGGAUAUAUGUCAUAUCUUGGUAAGCAGACCAAAACAAAUGUCAUUUUCAGAAUCUACGACCCCAAAAUACCCCAAAAAGCGUCUAACAUCUCCUUCACCAGUUGUAUUCCCCGGUGAUAUACUUUCAGUUGCAUAUUUUUCCAUAUACAACUUUACAAAGCACUUAUUACUUUUUUAUUCCUGUAUUGCUCUAUGAUUUCUGGUAUUUGUGUCCUGUCUUUUUACCACCUGCCGAGUGUCUUCUCUGAUCUGGAUUCUCAUGUCAUCAUUAUUGUGGAAUUACCUUUUGUUAUUCAUAGCAAGUUGUUUUGCACAUUCCCUGGCAUGGUGUUAUGAUUUGUGCUCCCUUUGCUAUAUAUAGUUUCAUAUUUUCUUGUUUUGCU
Molecule: long non-coding RNA, 1798 nt
Organism: Pseudophryne corroboree (corroboree frog)
Lineage: Eukaryota; Metazoa; Chordata; Amphibia; Anura; Myobatrachidae
Exons: 6
Source: RefSeq, a predicted model, not a curated record